This 685-nucleotide long non-coding RNA is filed under the name Callithrix jacchus (white-tufted-ear marmoset). Its description in RNAcentral is "lncRNA (ENSCJAG00000056758.2)". The record is from RNAcentral. Lineage: Eukaryota; Metazoa; Chordata; Mammalia; Primates; Cebidae.
GAGAAAGCUUACUCAAGAAUGUGUUUGAACUGAGAUUUCAAAGAUAACCAGAUCUCGUCUGGGUGAAUGAGUCAGUAGAAGAUAUUCAAGGUACAAGAAUGCCUCACUGGAAGUUCAGAUGUGAGAAUGAGUAUGACACUUUUGAAGAUCUGGAAAAAGACCUGUGUGGCCAGAGAAGAGAGUGAAGGGAAUGCCUUAUUUUGUUUCUUUAGCUGCCUUGAACAAGGUAGUGAUGCUGAGAGAGGCUAUAAAAAAUGUGGCUCUCCAAUCUUGGGAAGCUUAUAUAACUUAGCUCCUAGGAAGCCAAGGACAUAUUCAGCAGGAAGAAACUUGCUGGCUCGGUUAUGGUGAUUCAUGCCAACAAAUCAAAGGAAAACCAUCCUUCUUGGGAUCUGACUAUUCUUGUUGCAUCCUCAUCUUGGACUUCCAGCCUCCAGCACUUUAAGAGAGUAAAUUUCUAUUGUUUUAUGGACCUAUUCUAUUGUAUUUUGCUAUAUAGCCAGAGCUAAGACAAGAGAUAAGCAACAAUUAUUAUUAUUAGAUCAUAGCACUUAAUUAUCAGUGAUGUGUAAAGAGAACAGAGAUGCUGCUAUGAAAGAGCAGAAGGGAAAUAUGGAAGGGUACAGAGAUGCCCAUUGCCAGCAACAAGCUGAGGGUUAAAUUAUGAAUUGCAAGGUAUGAUCAG